RNAcentral lists this ribosomal RNA (482 nucleotides) under uncultured bacterium. Its description in RNAcentral is "bacterial SSU rRNA". It matches the Rfam family "Bacterial small subunit ribosomal RNA", at positions 20 to 518 of the family's 1533-position model. The record is from RNAcentral.
UGGCUCAGGACGAGCGCUGGCGGCGUGCUUAACACAUGCAAGUCGAGCGAUGAAGCUUCUUCGGAAGUGGAUUAGCGGCGGACGGGUGAGUAACACGUGGGUAACCUGCCUCAUAGAGGGGAAUAGCCUUCCGAAAGGAAGAUUAAUACCGCAUAAGAUUGUAAUAUCGCAUGAUAUAGCAAUUAAAGGAGUAAUCCGCUAUGAGAUGGACCCGCGUCGCAUUAGCUAGUUGGUGAGGUAACGGCUCACCAAGGCGACGAUGCGUAGCCGACCUGAGAGGGUGAUCGGCCACAUUGGGACUGAGACACGGCCCAGACUCCUACGGGAGGCAGCAGUGGGGAAUAUUGCACAAUGGGGGAAACCCUGAUGCAAGCAACGCCGCGUGAGUGAUGACGGUCUUCGGAUUGUAAAGCUCUGUCUUCAGGGACGAUAAUGACGGUACCUGAGGAGGAAGCCACGGCUAACUACGUGCCAGCCGCCGC